CGUAGGUCCCGAGCGUUGUCCGGAUUUAUUGGGCGUAAAGCGAGCGCAGGCGGUUUGAUAAGUCUGAAGUUAAAGGCUGUGGCUCAACCAUAGUUCGCUUUGGAAACUGUCAAACUUGAGUGCAGAAGGGGAGAGUGGAAUUCCAUGUGUAGCGGUGAAAUGCGUAGAUAUAUGGAGGAACACCGGUGGCGAAAGCGGCUCUCUGGUCUGUAACUGACGCUGAGGCUCGAAAGCGUGGGAGCGAACAGGAUU
Molecule: ribosomal RNA, 252 nt
Filed under: uncultured bacterium
Lineage: Bacteria
Description: partial 16S ribosomal RNA
Rfam family: Bacterial small subunit ribosomal RNA
Source: RNAcentral